UAUUUGAAGAAGCUUAUGCACUUCACUUCUCACUGCUUCUCUAUUAGAACUCAAGAAGUUUCCUUUUCUGCUUAUAAAAACACUGCAGUACUUGUUGAGAUGAGUAAAGGGAUUUAUUCUCAAUGUUUUUGCUGAUCAGCUUGUAUACCUUCCUUUUCACUGAUGAUAUCCAUGCGCUUGCAUCUUUUUUCCGCUUUAUAGCCUGUGGUUUGACAACGUACGGAAACUUUCAGAUCCUCAAUGUAUAUGUGACAAAAUAUCAAACUGGUGGAACCUAUUGGCCUAUUGUGCACAACACCACAAUUUUCUCAAUGGUGCUGAUGCAAAUUAUAGCUUUGGCAGUCUUUGGAUUUAAAAAAUCUUCAACAGCAUCAAGCUUCACUAUUCCAUUGAUAAUCUGUACACUCCUCUUCAAUGAGUACUGCAGGCAAAGGUUUGAACCAUUAUUCAAGUACACUCCUGCUCAGAUCCUCAUUGACAUGGAUAGGAAGGAUGAGGAAUGUGGGAGGAUGAUAGAGAUGCAUCAACAACUCACAUCAGCUUAUUGUCAGUUCAAAUCAACUUCACCUACACCGGGUAAAGCUGUUCCUGAAAGUGACGAAGAGAACAUGAGUAUCCAUAAGGUUCAUGAUGUAGAAGACAUUAAUCCAGGGAAAAGUCCUCAUUUUCCUCGAUCAUGUACAUCUUUUGAUAGUAACAGUCCUCCUCAUCUUCCUUUGACAUCUUUGGACAUUAGAAGUCCUCAUCUUCUUUCACCACGUGCGUCUUUGGAAAUUAAAAGUCCUCAUCUUCCAUCAUCAUGUACGUCUUUGGAAAUUAGAAGUCCUCAUCUUCCUUCAUCACGUACGUCUUUGGAAAUUAAAAGUCCUCGUUUUCCUUCAUCACGUACGUCUUUGGAAAUUAAAAGCCCUUGUCUUCUUUCACCACAUGCGUCUUUGGAAAAUAAAAGUCCUCCGUGUCUUCCUUCAUCACGUACGUCUUUGGAAAUUAAAAGCCCUCGUCUUCUUUCACCACAUGCGUCUUUGGAAAAUAAAAGUCCUCGUAUUCCUUCACCACGUGCGUCUUUGGAAAAUAGAAGUCUUCAUCUUCCUUCAUCACGUACGUCUUUCGAAAAUAAAAGUCCUCAUCUUCCUUCACCACGUACGUCUUUCGAAAAUAAAAGUCCUCAUCUUCCUUCACCACGUAGUUCUUUGGAAAUUAGAAGUCCCCGUCUUCCUUCACCACGUGAGUCUUUGGAAAUUAAAAGUCCCCGUCUUCCUUCACCACAUGCAUCUUAGGAAACUAGAAGUCCUCGUCUUUCUUCAUCAUGUACGUCUUUGGAAGCAGAAGAAUCAUGUGCCAAGUAGAUGAAUAUUUUCUGUGCUGAAUGUGCAAUCUUAUGACUGUCGAUUGUAUGGCAUGGUUGAUUUGUGAAAUGCCUUGAGAAGAAACUUCGUGAAAUGUAGAGAAAAUAUUUUUCUUUGGAAUAUGCCAUCUGAAGAGACUACUUGGAAGUGUAUAUAAAUUCUUCGGGGGCGUCUGAAGCUGCAACACUUUAGAGCAUAACAUUCUGGAAUUUUAUAAUGUGCUGGAGUUCCAAUAUUAUAUGCUGGAAGUUGAUACACAAGUGCUUCAAUCUCCAAUUGUUAUGCUAGAACUUUCUGUGUGCUGGAGUUCAUACACAGGUGCUCCAAUCUCCAGUAUAUUAUACGGGAACUUUCCGUGUUGUAGCAAAAUAUUGCUUAUUUUUCAACGACUUUGCAAAUGAUGGCUAUCUUUCAAUUACCAGUGCGAAAACUGGCUAGCCCGUGCUAUUCUAACCAAAACAACUACUGUUGUGUUGUAAUUAUUUUUGGCCUGUUGGACUAGUAUAUGUACGCCAUGUAGGGGUGUACAUGUACAUGUAC
Nicotiana tabacum (common tobacco) is the source of this 1886-nucleotide non-coding RNA. The record is from RefSeq and is a predicted model, not a curated record. Lineage: Eukaryota; Viridiplantae; Streptophyta; Magnoliopsida; Solanales; Solanaceae.